RNAcentral lists this ribosomal RNA (427 nucleotides) under uncultured bacterium. Its description in RNAcentral is "partial 16S ribosomal RNA". It matches the Rfam family "Bacterial small subunit ribosomal RNA", at positions 354 to 796 of the family's 1533-position model. The record is from RNAcentral.
GUGAGGAAUCUUCCACAAUGGGCGAAAGCCUGAUGGAGCAACGCCGCGUGAAGGAUGAAGGUCUUCGGAUUGUAAACUUCUUUUAUGAGUGAAGAAUAUGACGGUAACUCAUGAAUAAGCACCGGCUAACUACGUGCCAGCAGCCGCGGUCAUACGUAGGGUGCAAGCAUUAUCCGGAGUGACUGGGCGUAAAGAGUUGCGUAGGCGGUUAUGUAAGCGAAUAGUGAAACCUGGUGGCUCAACCACACAGACUAUUAUUCGAACUGCAUAACUAGAGCAUGGUAGAGGUAAAGGGAAGUUCUUGUGUGGGAGUGAAAUCCGUAGAUAUAAGAAGGAACACCAAUGGCGUAGGCAGGUUACUGGGCCAUUUCUGACGCUAAGGCACGAAAGCGUGGGGAGCGAACCGGAUUAGAAACCCCAGUAGUCC